This 501-nucleotide long non-coding RNA is filed under the name Phascolarctos cinereus (koala). Its description in RNAcentral is "lncRNA (ENSPCIG00000036438.1)". The record is from RNAcentral. Lineage: Eukaryota; Metazoa; Chordata; Mammalia; Diprotodontia; Phascolarctidae.
CAUGAAUUCCUCUGAAUAAGUAUUCAGAAACCUGGUCAAUUAACAACUAGUGUAGACUUUUCUUAACAAAAACCCUCUGAGGUUUUUCCUGAGUUCAAUUAACUUAAAACCUUGAGCAACAUUUGAUCUCCAGGUUGUGAUGCGUGUCACUCAAAAGGCUGGUCAUCUGUUUGCCUAUCUCCCCUAGGCAAACCUAGAAAAUGCAUCUCCUGACCUUCGAAGAGAGCUCUGGUUAUUCAGGAAAGUGGAUUGCCUUGUCCCCUGGAGCAUAAAACUGAUCACAGGGUCCACAGGCUGCAUUGUAUCCCAAUACUCCCAAGUUGUGAUUGGUAGGAGGGAUGUCUAUCUUUGGGUGAGACUUUGGGUAUGUGCAUAUGUGCAUGUACAAGACAGUCACUUCACCAUUUAUUUCUCCAGGAAUACGGUACUCUUGGGGAAUGGAGGCUACUAAAUAGGAACUCUUCGAGAACAGGAAUUUUUAGCAUUCUGAUGGUUGGAUAG